CAUGAGCCACCGCACCCAGCCGGGUGUUUCUUUACAGCAAUCAGAAAAUAGACUAAUACAGGGACAGGUGCCUGACAUGGAAGGAACAUCCAUCUUGGACUACAUGGAGUGAAAAGCAAGGGCUGAAUACGAUGGAACAAGAAGACGGAAGACGCCUGUCUUCUCAGGAUGGUGGUGCCAUUAUGCCAGCUGAAUCUAUGUGCAACAAAAAGAAACCAAGA
This 221-nucleotide long non-coding RNA is filed under the name Homo sapiens (human). RNAcentral's name for it is "long non-coding RNA NONHSAT215377.1". The record is from RNAcentral. Lineage: Eukaryota; Metazoa; Chordata; Mammalia; Primates; Hominidae.